Long non-coding RNA from Ruditapes philippinarum (Manila clam), 922 nucleotides. RefSeq lists it as uncharacterized. The record is from RefSeq and is a predicted model, not a curated record. The transcript is spliced from 3 exons. NCBI's taxonomy places the organism in Eukaryota, Metazoa, Mollusca, Bivalvia, Venerida, Veneridae.
CUAGUGCACUUACAAACCCGAAAUUUCCAACCAUACAGGGUAACGCCCACUGCUGUGACGUUUCAUCGCCACUCUAAAUGCUAUAUUGUAUUCUAACAUAUCAAGCUAAGCUGAAUUCAUAGUGAUCACCCGACCAUGACCGACGCAUAACCGCCGCGAGUGAAAAAUAGUGCUCUGAAUUUCUGAAAACUUCGAUUUAUUGCAAACAGAAGUGGAGACAAGAAAUUUAUUUUUUGAAAAUAAUGUGCAAUUGAGCUUGAAUUACGGUAUUAGAAACGUAGCGGAUAUAAUUUGAAAGGUCACAUAAUUCUAUGAAUGGGAUAGUAAAUUAAUUGGGUCAUAGUGCUUGACGGCUUGCAAUAUUUAACUUACUCAUCCGCCUUAUCAUCACAUUUUUUUGUAUUAUAUUCCAGAAUUUUUGAAAAAGACAUUAUUUAUCGGAUAAAUUUUGUAGUUUAUAAUUGCAAAGUGGAUAUUGAAAUAGAAUUAGCCAGAGAUGUAGAUAAUCUAUUCGUCUCUGAAUUAGCCGAUAAUUAGGUUAAAUGAAUCCGACAACUUCCGGUAUAUUUUUCGACCUACUUCACGAGCAUAAUUAUCAGCCUGUUAAGCUCAUAAGGGAAAUAAAAGAUUAUUUACUUUAAUAUUCACUUGGAAAGGCUGGUACAUGUAGCUAGAAAAAAGUACAGUAUAAGAUUAAAGAAAGACUAGAAGAUUAUUACAAACAACAGGUGGACAUGUGUCACUGUCAAGCGAAUGAAGAUAAGCAUCACACUCGGUGGGAAUCUCCAGUUUCCAGAUGUAGUGAUCAUAACUGUAUAGGCACCAUUAACACUUUGGACUAGUUGGAGUAUUUUAGAGGGCUAGUCUGAAUUGAAUCCCCUGUCAAUAGUAAAGGCCAGUCAUGAACAUUGUGUUGAAGGAA